GACGAACGCUGGCGGCGUGCCUAACACAUGCAAGUCGAGCGAUUUGAUUCUCUUCGGAGAUGAAGCUAGCGGCGGACGGGUGAGUAACACGUGGGCAACCUGCCUCAUAGAGGGGAAUAGCCUCCCGAAAGGGAGAUUAAUACCGCAUAAGAUUGUAGCUUCGCAUGAAGUAGCAAUUAAAGGAGCAAUCCGCUAUGAGAUGGGCCCGCGGCGCAUUAGCUAGUUGGUGAGGUAACGGCUCACCAAGGCGACGAUGCGUAGCCGACCUGAGCGGGUGAUCGGCCACAUUGGGACUGAGACACGGCCCAGACUCCUACGGGAGGCAGCAGGGGGGAAUAUUGCACAAUGGGGGAAGCCCUGAUGCAGCAACGCCGCGUGAGUGAUGACGGCCUUCGGGUUGUAAAGCUCUGUCUUCAGGGACGAUAAUGACGGUACCUGAGGAGGAAGCCACGGCUAACUACGUGCCAGCAGCCGCCGUAA
Molecule: ribosomal RNA, 480 nt
Filed under: uncultured bacterium
Lineage: Bacteria
Description: partial 16S ribosomal RNA
Rfam family: Bacterial small subunit ribosomal RNA
Source: RNAcentral